AGUGAACGCUGGCGGCAGGCCUAACACAUGCAAGUCGAGCGGCAGCGCGUCCGACCACCCUCGGGUGGUCGGAUGGCGGCGAGCGGCGGACGGGUGAGGAAUGCAUCGGAAUCUGCCUCGUUGUGGGGGAUAACGUAGGGAAACUUACGCUAAUACCGCAUACGACCUACGGGUGAAAGUGGGGGACCUUCGGGCCUCACGCGAUGAGAUGAGCCGAUGCCGGAUUAGCUAGUUGGCGGGGUAAAGGCCCACCAAGGCGACGAUCCGUAGCUGGUCUGAGAGGAUGAUCAGCCACACUGGAACUGAGACACGGUCCAGACUCCUACGGGAGGCAGCAGUGGGGAAUAUUGGACAAUGGGGGCAACCCUGAUCCAGCCAUGCCGCGUGUGUGAAGAAGGCCUCGGUUGUA
This 409-nucleotide ribosomal RNA is filed under the name uncultured bacterium. Its description in RNAcentral is "bacterial SSU rRNA". It matches the Rfam family "Bacterial small subunit ribosomal RNA", at positions 30 to 427 of the family's 1533-position model. The record is from RNAcentral.